RNAcentral lists this ribosomal RNA (259 nucleotides) under Chrysoreinhardia sp. CCMP2950. RNAcentral's name for it is "partial Bacterial small subunit ribosomal RNA". It matches the Rfam family "Bacterial small subunit ribosomal RNA", at positions 394 to 670 of the family's 1533-position model. The record is from RNAcentral. Lineage: Eukaryota; Pelagophyceae; Sarcinochrysidales; Chrysocystaceae.
AUGCCGCGUGUGUGAUGAAGGCCCUAGGGUUGUAAAGCUCUUUCAGCGAGGAGGAUAAUGACGUUACUCGCAGAAGAAGCCCCGGCUAACUUCGUGCCAGCAGCCGCGGUAAUACGAAGGGGGCUAGCGUUGUUCGGAAUCACUGGGCGUAAAGCGCACGUAGGCGGACUGAUUAGUCAGGGGUGAAAUCCCGGGGCUCAACCCCGGAACUGCCUUUGAUACUGUCAGUCUUGAGUCCGAGAGAGGUGAGUGGAACUCC